GCGCCAUCAGCAGUAGCGGAAGUAGUAGCCGACAACUCGAAAAACGGUGAAGCAGUUACAUAACUUUAUGGACGUUAAAGUGUCUGCCUAGAAGGAGACUACGAGUGUCUGGUUUACGUCAAGUUCAACUAUAAGGUGUCCACGAUAGUAAACAACUAAUACCUUUAGAUUCUUCGAUUAUAUUUAUUGGCGUUGAGAUCAAAUAGCUUCUAGUCUCUAGAGAACAACUCAGGAUGUCGUCGCCAAUGUCUGCCCGUGGCAUUCUGUGGGGUCUUAUCCUAGUUGGGGUGAUACUACUCAGCUUGUCGGUGGAAUCGCAGGCACGCUAUCUUCCUACAAGAGCAGACCCGGCGCGACGAGAACGGAUCCGGGAGAUUCUAAGAGCGCUGUUACUUCUCUCGCCCGGCGAGCCCGAAGCACGCGGUCCAUACACUUCGAGUUAUGAAUAUGGCACCGGGGCGGGCGAUCUGAAGGGGCUUGAAAGAAGUGACUGGGAUUCGUCAUCGACAUGAUUGCCAUCCGUACGCAAGCUAGGGCAGUUUAAGCUGAAGCAAAAUAACAACAACAGCAACAACAAUAACAACAAAGCUAAGAAGAAGCCCUAACCCUUUUUCCUGUUUGGAAGACAUGUUACGAAAGAGAAGGAGAGGAAGCGGGCUACGCCGUAGCAAGAUAUAGCAGACGAGUGGAAGAGUGGCAGAGAAAAGGAAUUAAAAGCAAACGGAGGAGGAGGGGGAGCAUGGGGAGGACAAGGAGGAGAUGAGAGACGAAUGGAAAAAGAAUAGUGCACGACACACAAAAAAUGUUUCUUUGAUUGCCCUUGUUCAAGACGUUUCAUGAGUCUGUUUUAGUUUUACGUUGUUGUUAGCGUUGCUUCGGGGUGUGAAGCAACUUACGCCGGACGACUACAUUCCAGCGGAAGCCAUACGAAUGAAUCGGCAAGUGUCCCACCACGAGUAAUUGGCAUCACCCAGCGCAUCAAUCGUCAAGUGGCAAUCACGACCAAAUUCACAAUCCCCGCGAAAAGCGGUGCAGAUAAAGCUUUUCAGCAGAGAAAUGAGCGCAAAAAUCAAUUAAUCGUACAUCUGAUACGAGGCACGAUAUGCACAUUAUAUCAUGCCACACAGUACAUUAAUUAAUGGAAGUAAUAAAUAUCCGUGGAUCCAGUAUGUCCCAUCGACCCACAGAUCGAAACAGCUAUCGACAGCCUAUGGAAGUGGUCCUAUUAAAAAAAAAACAGCACCACUCAAAUAGGCAUCAUGUACUCUUCUGGUACUAUUACUGCUUUACGAGGGUCGAGUUACUAUGGUUUUGAGGUUUCAGUAAUGACUUCGUAGCGCCAUCUUUAGGUGUUGUGGAGUUUUCCCUCUAGGAAGGCAGAGUCACUUUAACAAGAAUCAACAUUCAGGCACCGCAAAUAUAUGGCAGCACCCUCUAUGGUUGUAGGUGAAAGGUAAAAUGAAACACAACUAAGAUACAUAAUGGAGACACGUAACAUCUACCCUUAUUUAAAGCAAAAAAAAACAGACAAAUUAUAAAUAAAACUGUUUUUG
Molecule: long non-coding RNA, 1553 nt
Filed under: Varroa destructor (honeybee mite)
Lineage: Eukaryota; Metazoa; Arthropoda; Arachnida; Mesostigmata; Varroidae
Description: uncharacterized LOC111244398, transcript variant X4
Source: RNAcentral